UACAGAGGGGGCAAGCGUUGUUCGGAAUUACUGGGCGUAAAGGGUGCGUAGGCGGCCUUCUAAGUCGAACGUGAAAUCCCCGGGCUCAACCCGGGAACUGCGUCCGAUACUGGAAGGCUUGAAUCCGGGAGAGGGAUGUGGAAUUCCAGGUGUAGCGGUGAAAUGCGUAGAUAUCUGGAGGAACACCGGUGGCGAAGGCGACAUCCUGGACCGGUAUUGACGCUGAGGCGCGAAAGCCAGGGGAGCAAACGGG
Molecule: ribosomal RNA, 253 nt
Filed under: uncultured bacterium
Lineage: Bacteria
Description: partial 16S ribosomal RNA
Rfam family: Bacterial small subunit ribosomal RNA
Source: RNAcentral